This 1091-nucleotide long non-coding RNA is filed under the name Hordeum vulgare. RNAcentral describes it as "long non-coding RNA (HVUL_LNC020849)". Lineage: Eukaryota; Viridiplantae; Streptophyta; Magnoliopsida; Poales; Poaceae. The record is from RNAcentral.
UACCACACGUUGGGAUACUUAAUUGACCCUCUCGACUUGUUAAUCGCUUAGUACUCGGUCCAGGAGUUGGAAGUAGUUUCUGGUGUUUAUAAUCAUCCUGGCGGCCGUGCGUAGCGCUGACCUUAGAGGUGGGCUAUACUGCGGCAGGCAGUGGCACGGUGUACCAAGUGACACCCGGAUGAUGGGCUUGGUAACCUUGCGCACAUCGUUUGAGGCCGUGGCGGAAACCUCGGCCGGACUUCCGUGCGGUUACUCUCAGAUAGACGAUAGACCUGGACCAAGUAUUAGCGUGGUUAACGGUCGUGACCGACUCCCUCGUUGGGCUUCCACUUGAAGAUUGCCGAGGUGCAUGACCUGCACAUGGCGAUAAGUGGCGAGAGCGUGUGUGACGAAGUACACCCCUGCUGGGUUAUGAUCUAUUCGAAUAGCCGUGUCCGCGGAUAUGGACUUCUUGGAGACAUAUGUUGUUCAUAGAUAACUUCAAUGGCUACUCAUAAAAUUGUCAAGAUAAAUGUGAGUGUCGUGGACGGCAUUUUCGUAUGGAGACGGAAUGAAUCCACGAUAGAGUAUUGUUGUGGUGAUAGUGGACUCGUGUACGAGAAAUCAAGUUGUCAAAAUUUAUUUUAAAAUACAAGUUGUUUAUCCACGAGUCAAAUGCUAGCUUUCCGCAUGAAACCCCACAAUUUCUUAUUGAUACAUUGCAUUAGUAGAUAGUUAUCCUAAAGUCUUGCUGAGUACCUCCGUACUCAUGUUUGUUUAAUAAUUAUUAAUGACCCUAAUGAAGGGUUCUUUCUAGACAUCGACGAUGAUGAGUAGCUGGUGUCCCAGCUACGAUCUGGCCCUAGAUUGGGUCUGUAGUAUAGUCAGGCCAUGUGCCUUCUAGUCUCACCUGUCUGUACUCAGACAGUUUAAUCACUUCCGCUGGCUUGUAACUGAAUGACUGCUAUGAUGGGUCAUGAGACCCUUAGUGUGUAAUAUUAUGUGUGUGGCUCUUCCGAGCCUCUUAAAUAAAGCUUCUAUGUUUAUGGUUAUGUUGUGAUGCCAUCGAUGUAUCUAUACAUAUCGGUAUGCCAUGCGUACGUGUGUCNNNN